This 245-nucleotide small RNA is filed under the name Vigna angularis var. angularis. RNAcentral's name for it is "Non-protein coding transcript". Lineage: Eukaryota; Viridiplantae; Streptophyta; Magnoliopsida; Fabales; Fabaceae. The record is from RNAcentral.
AAGCACCACUGUUGAUGUAGACCAAUUGUACAGAGCAGUCAGUGUUAGAGAGAUCAUUGUGUACAGGGUUGUAUGCGAGAUAAUUGGGCAAACCUUGAGCACGACUUCAUUUUACACUUUGGCCCCGAUAAAAUACGUUGAUAACAUGGUGGUGUUAUUUGCUUGUACGAUGUUUAUGUACUUUGAGAAAAGGUUGUGCGGUGUUGUUAAGAGGAUUCAUUUUAGUCCAUUAUACUCGAAUCGUC